Molecule: ribosomal RNA, 332 nt
Filed under: uncultured bacterium
Lineage: Bacteria
Description: bacterial SSU rRNA
Rfam family: Bacterial small subunit ribosomal RNA
Source: RNAcentral
CGUGUAGGCGGGUUAUUAAGUCAGAUGUGAAAUACCGAGGCUCAACUUCGGGGCUGCAUCUGAAACUAAUAAUCUUGAGUGCAGGAGAGGAAAGCGGAAUUCCAAGUGUAGCGGUGAAAUGCGUAGAUAUUUGGAGGAACACCAGUGGCGAAGGCGGCUUUCUGGACUGUAACUGACGCUGAGGCGCGAAAGCGUGGGGAGCAAACAGGAUUAGAUACCCUGGUAGUCCACGCCGUAAACGAUGGAUACUAGGUGUAGGAGGUAUCGACCCCUUCUGUGCCGGAGUUAACACAAUAAGUAUCCCACCUGGGGAGUACGGCCGCAAGGUUGAA